RNAcentral lists this ribosomal RNA (723 nucleotides) under Acinetobacter radioresistens WC-A-157. RNAcentral describes it as "bacterial SSU rRNA". It matches the Rfam family "Bacterial small subunit ribosomal RNA", at positions 29 to 746 of the family's 1533-position model. The record is from RNAcentral. Lineage: Bacteria; Pseudomonadati; Pseudomonadota; Gammaproteobacteria; Moraxellales; Moraxellaceae.
UUGAACGCUGGCGGCAGGCUUAACACAUGCAAGUCGAGCGGAUGAAAGUAGCUUGCUACCGGAUUCAGCGGCGGACGGGUGAGUAAUGCUUAGGAAUCUGCCCAUUAGUGGGGGACAACGUUCCGAAAGGAGCGCUAAUACCGCAUACGUCCUACGGGAGAAAGCAGGGGACCUUCGGGCCUUGCGCUAAUAGAUGAGCCUAAGUCGGAUUAGCUAGUUGGUAGGGUAAAGGCCUACCAAGGCGACGAUCUGUAGCGGGUCUGAGAGGAUGAUCCGCCACACUGGGACUGAGACACGGCCCAGACUCCUACGGGAGGCAGCAGUGGGGAAUAUUGGACAAUGGGGGGAACCCUGAUCCAGCCAUGCCGCGUGUGUGAAGAAGGCCUUUUGGUUGUAAAGCACUUUAAGCGAGGAGGAGGCUACCUAGAUUAAUACUUUAGGAUAGUGGACGUUACUCGCAGAAUAAGCACCGGCUAACUCUGUGCCAGCAGCCGCGGUAAUACAGAGGGUGCGAGCGUUAAUCGGAUUUACUGGGCGUAAAGCGUGCGUAGGCGGCCAAUUAAGUCAAAUGUGAAAUCCCCGAGCUUAACUUGGGAAUUGCAGUCGAUACUGGUUGGCUAGAGUAUGGGAGAGGAUGGUAGAAUUCCAGGUGUAGCGGUGAAAUGCGUAGAGAUCUGGAGGAAUACCGAUGGCGAAGGCAGCCAUCUGGCCUAAUACUGACGC